CUUUACUGUAGCCUGGUAUUGGGUUCGGGCUUUGACUGCGCAGGAUAGGUGGGAGGCGUUGAGAUAUUCCUUGUGGGGAAUGUGGAGCCAACGGUGAGAUACCACUCUGGUGAGGCUAGAAUUCUAACCCGAUGCCGUGAACCGGCUCGGGAACAGUUUCAGGCGGGCAGUUUGACUGGGGCGGUCGCCUCCUAAAAGGUAACGGAGGCGCGCAAAGGUUCUCUCAGGCUGGUUGGAAAUCAGCCGUAGAGUGUAAAGGCAUAAGAGAGCUUGACUGCGAGACAAACACGUCGAGCAGGGUGGAAACACGGCCUUAGUGAUCCGACGGCGCUGCGUGGAAGGGCCGUCGCUAAACGGAUAAAAGUUA
This 367-nucleotide ribosomal RNA is filed under the name uncultured organism. RNAcentral's name for it is "bacterial LSU rRNA". It matches the Rfam family "Bacterial large subunit ribosomal RNA", at positions 2099 to 2465 of the family's 2925-position model. The record is from RNAcentral.